UACGUAGGUGGCGAGCGUUGUCCGGAAUUACUGGGCGUAAAGGGCGCGUAGGCGGAUAUUUAAGCCAGAUGUGAAAACUCCGGGCUCAACUUGGAGAUUGCAUUUGAAACUGGGUAUCUUGAGGACAGGAGAGGAAAGCGGAAUUCCUAGUGUAGCGGUGAAAUGCGUAGAUAUUAGGAGGAACACCAGUGGCGAAGGCGGCUUUCUGGACUGUAACUGACGCUGAGGCGCGAAAGCGUGGGGAGCAAACGGGAUUAGAUACCCCGGUAGUCCCUGA
This 277-nucleotide ribosomal RNA is filed under the name uncultured prokaryote. RNAcentral describes it as "partial 16S ribosomal RNA". It matches the Rfam family "Bacterial small subunit ribosomal RNA", at positions 524 to 800 of the family's 1533-position model. The record is from RNAcentral.